This 274-nucleotide ribosomal RNA is filed under the name uncultured bacterium. RNAcentral's name for it is "partial 16S ribosomal RNA". It matches the Rfam family "Bacterial small subunit ribosomal RNA", at positions 523 to 796 of the family's 1533-position model. The record is from RNAcentral.
AUACGGAGGGUGCAAGCGUUGUUCGGAAUCACUGGGCGUAAAGGGCGCGCAGGCGGUUUGGUAAGUCAGAUGUGAAAGCCCACGGCUCAACCGUGGAAGUGCAUUUGAAACUGUCAGACUUGAGUACUAGAGGGGAAAGUGGAAUUCCCGGUGUAGAGGUGAAAUUCGUAGAUAUCGGGAGGAAUACCGGUGGCGAAGGCGACUUUCUGGCUAGAUACUGACGCUGAGGCGCGAAAGCGUGGGGAGCAAACAGGAUUAGAAACCCCAGUAGUCC